AAGGUUGUUCCCUUGAGGAGUGGCUUUCGGAGCUAACGCGUUAAAUCGACCGCCUGGGGAGUACGGCCGCAAGGUUAAAACUCAAAUGAAUUGACGGGGGCCCGCACAAGCGGUGGAGCAUGUGGUUUAAUUCGAUGCAACGCGAAGAACCUUACCUACUCUUGACAUCCAGAGAAUUUAGCAGAGAUGCUUUAGUGCCUUCGGGAACUCUGAGACAGGUGCUGCAUGGCUGUCGUCAGCUCGUGUUGUGAAAUGUUGGGUUAAGUCCCGCAACGAGCGCAACCCUUAUCCUUUGUUGCCAGCGAUUCGGUCGGGAACUCAAAGGAGACUGCCGGUGAUAAACCGGAGGAAGGUGGGGAUGACGUCAAGUCAUCAUGGCCCUUACGAGUAGGGCUACACACGUGCUACAAUGGCGUAUACAAAGAGAAGCGACCUCGCGAGAGCAAGCGGAACUCAUAAAGUACGUCGUAGUCCGGAUUGGAGUCUGCAACUCGACUCCAUGAAGUCGGAAUCGCUAGUAAUCGUAGAUCAGAAUGCUACGGUGAAUACGUUCCCGGGCCUUGUACACACCGCCCGUCACACCAUGGGAGUGGGUUGCAAAAGAAGUAGGUAGCUUAACCUUCGGGAGGGCGCUUACCACUUUGUGAUUCAUGACUGGGGUGAAGUCGUA
This 670-nucleotide ribosomal RNA is filed under the name uncultured bacterium. RNAcentral's name for it is "bacterial SSU rRNA". It matches the Rfam family "Bacterial small subunit ribosomal RNA", at positions 820 to 1490 of the family's 1533-position model. The record is from RNAcentral.